Molecule: unclassified non-coding RNA, 404 nt
Filed under: Schoenia ayersii
Lineage: Eukaryota; Viridiplantae; Streptophyta; Magnoliopsida; Asterales; Asteraceae
Description: partial external transcribed spacer
Source: RNAcentral
AGUGGUGUUUGGUUUGUUACGGGUGGUUGGCUCUUUGCUUGCGCAACAACUUCCACCUGACAUUCCUCUUCAUUUUUGUUUCAAUGCAAGGUUUGUGUUGAAUGCAAAGUGGGUUUCCUGUGCUCUAUGCCUAAUUGAUGGUAUCGUUUGACCAAUCGAUGUCUAUUUUCGUCUAGUGUCGCAAUUGCGGUGCAAGAUGAUCCUUUAAGCAGCCUUUUUGAUCCACUGUUUUGAUGCUUAUGCAUUGAUAUUGUGGCUCAUUGAGUGCUUGCAUGGUCUCAUGGAUAUGGAAACUAUGUGGGCAUGUGAUCUUUUAGUAGUUCCUUGUUUGCCCUCGGCUAAGCUUUUCAAAUACGAUUUCCUAUCAUGUUCUCUUAUGUGGUAGGCUAGAUCGAAUACGAACG